Molecule: ribosomal RNA, 253 nt
Filed under: uncultured bacterium
Lineage: Bacteria
Description: partial 16S ribosomal RNA
Rfam family: Bacterial small subunit ribosomal RNA
Source: RNAcentral
UACGGGGGGAGCAAGCGUUGUUCGGAUUUACUGGGCGUAAAGGGCGCGUAGGCGGCGCAACAAGUCACUUGUGAAAUCUCCGGGCUUAACCCGGAGCGGCCAAGUGAUACUGUCGUGCUAGAGUGCGGAAGGGGCUACUGGAAUUCUCGGUGUAGCGGUGAAAUGCGUAGAUAUCGAGAGGAACACCUGCGGCGAAGGCGGGUUGCUGGGCUGACACUGACGCUGAGGCGCGAAAGCCAGGGGAGCGAACGGG